UACGAAGGGGGCUAGCGUUGCUCGGAAUCACUGGGCGUAAAGGGUGCGUAGGCGGGUCUUUAAGUCAGGGGUGAAAUCCUGGAGCUCAACUCCAGAACUGCCUUUGAUACUGAGGAUCUUGAGUCCGGGAGAGGUGAGUGGAACUGCGAGUGUAGAGGUGAAAUUCGUAGAUAUUCGCAAGAACACCAGUGGCGAAGGCGGCUCACUGGCCCGGUACUGACGCUGAGGCGCGAAAGCUAGGGGAGCGAACGGG
This 253-nucleotide ribosomal RNA is filed under the name uncultured bacterium. Its description in RNAcentral is "partial 16S ribosomal RNA". It matches the Rfam family "Bacterial small subunit ribosomal RNA", at positions 524 to 776 of the family's 1533-position model. The record is from RNAcentral.